Molecule: RNA transcript, 1331 nt
Organism: Cercocebus atys (sooty mangabey)
Lineage: Eukaryota; Metazoa; Chordata; Mammalia; Primates; Cercopithecidae
Gene name: PHD finger-like domain-containing protein 5A pseudogene
Exons: 1
Source: RefSeq, a predicted model, not a curated record
CUCUUGUCCUCAAGCAGUCCUCCCUUCUCAGCCUCUAAAAGUGCUGGGAUUACAGGGAUGAGCCAACCGGUCCAGCCCUGGUGAACUUACUGAUAGAUCAGUUCCUUGGGAAAUUCCUUUUAGAGUAGUCAGGGCACUGGAUGGCCUAAAACUCUUUGACUUGUAGGUUGGGAAUUGGUUGGUCAUGUUUAGUGUGCAUGUUGCUAGGCUGGUUACCUCCCUGUAUGAGACUCAGCCAAAGAGACACCAUACCUCAUGGUGAUUGUAGCCCAGCUCCUGAAGCUUCUAGACCUUUCCCCCAUGGAUCUCAUUAGUUGUUGUAUGAAAUUAGAGCAUUUCUUCAGAUGAAAAAAUUGGGUCACACGGUGGCUCAAACCUGUAAUCCCAGCACUUUUGGAGGCUGAGGCAGGUAGAUCACGAGGUCAGGAGUUCCAGACCAGCCUGACCAACAUGGUGAAACCCCGUCUCUACUAAAAAUACAAAAAUUGUAUGGUGGCCACCUUAGUUGGGAACUAUGGCUAAACAUUGUCCUGAUUUGAUCUUUUGCCGUAAGCAGGCUGGUGUUGCUAUCAGAAGACUGUGUGAAAAAUGUGAUGGCAAGUGUGUGAUUUGUGACUCCUAUGUGCGUCCCUGCACUCUGGUGCGCCUAUGUGAUGAGUGUAACUAUGGAUCUUACCAGGGGCGUUGUAUGAUCUGUGGAGGCCCUGGGGUCUCUGAUGCCUAUUAUUGUAAGGAGUGCACCAUCCAGGAGAAGAAUAGGGAUGGCUGCCCAAAGAUUGUCUAUUUGGGGAGCUCUAAGACCUCUUCUAUGAACACAAAAAAUAUGGCUUCAAGAACAGGGUGAUUGGUGGGUGGCCUCCUCCUCCCCGCCACCCCACAUCAAGCUGCUGCAGCUGCCAGAAAAGAUGCCUACUAUUACCAGCAGAAAGGGAGCGGAGGCCAGAGCAUCACCAGCAGUGCCUGCUGGUGUACUGGCGGCUUGCCACCCCCUCCUCUCCCUUCACCCAGACAUGUAGUAGGGAUGGAAAAGGAUUCUUCACAGAGCACUUUGGCACAACCUGUAUCAGAGAAAAAUUGAUAGAUUAAUUAAUGGUUUUUCCUGAAUUCAAGAAGCAAAGAUCUGUUCUCCAUAUUGAUAUGUUCUCCCUCAACCAAGAUCUUCUAAAAAGAAAUAAUAUUUUAGCCUUCUGCUUGGGUAGUUGACUGUGAAACUACGCCCAGUGAAAAACAUGUUCUUGCAGCAACUCUGGUGGCAGCUGUCCUUGAGGAACCUUCGGUGUGUGGUGGGAAGCUAUCAGAACGAGAAAUGUAGGCAUUUACUGUUUUUUUUU